UUAAGCGACUAAGCGUACACGGUGGAUGCCCUGGCAGUCAGAGGCGAUGAAGGACGUGCUAAUCUGCGAUAAGCGUCGGUAAGGUGAUAUGAACCGUUAUAACCGGCGAUUUCCGAAUGGGGAAACCCAGUGUGAUUCGUCACACUAUCAUUAACUGAAUCCAUAGGUUAAUGAGGCGAACCGGGGGAACUGAAACAUCUAAGUACCCCGAGGAAAAGAAAUCAACCGAGAUUCCCCCAGUAGCGGCGAGCGAACGGGGAGCAGCCCAGAGCCUGAAUCAGUGUGUGUGUUAGUGGAAGCGUCUGGAAAGGCGCGCGAUACAGGGUGACAGCCCCGUACACAAAAAUGCACAUACUGUGAGCUCGAUGAGUAGGGCGGGACACGUGGUAUCCUGUCUGAAUAUGGGGGGACCAUCCUCCAAGGCUAAAUACUCCUGACUGACCGAUAGUGAACCAGUACCGUGAGGGAAAGGCGAAAAGAACCCCGGCGAGGGGAGUGAAAAAGAACCUGAAACCGUGUACGUACAAGCAGUGGGAGCACGCUUCGGCGUGUGACUGCGUACCUUUUGUAUAAUGGGUCAGCGACUUAUAUUCUGUAGCAAGGUUAACCGAAUAGGGGAGCCGAAGGGAAACCGAGUCUUAACUGGGCGUUAAGUUGCAGGGUAUAGACCCGAAACCCGGUGAUCUAGCCAUGGGCAGGUUGAAGGUUGGGUAACACUAACUGGAGGACCGAACCGACUAAUGUUGAAAAAUUAGCGGAUGACUUGUGGCUGGGGGUGAAAGGCCAAUCAAACCGGGAGAUAGCUGGUUCUCCCCGAAAGCUAUUUAGGUAGCGCCUCGUGAAUUCAUCUCCGGGGGUAGAGCACUGUUUCGGCAAGGGGGUCAUCCCGACUUACCAACCCGAUGCAAACUGCGAAUACCGGAGAAUGUUAUCACGGGAGACACACGGCGGGUGCUAACGUCCGUCGUGAAGAGGGAAACAACCCAGACCGCCAGCUAAGGUCCCAAAGUCAUGGUUAAGUGGGAAACGAUGUGGGAAGGCCCAGACAGCCAGGAUGUUGGCUUAGAAGCAGCCAUCAUUUAAAGAAAGCGUAAUAGCUCACUGGUCGAGUCGGCCUGCGCGGAAGAUGUAACGGGGCUAAACCAUGCACCGAAGCUGCGGCAGCGACACUAUGUGUUGUUGGGUAGGGGAGCGUUCUGUAAGCCUGUGAAGGUGUACUGUGAGGUAUGCUGGAGGUAUCAGAAGUGCGAAUGCUGACAUAAGUAACGAUAAAGCGGGUGAAAAGCCCGCUCGCCGGAAGACCAAGGGUUCCUGUCCAACGUUAAUCGGGGCAGGGUGAGUCGACCCCUAAGGCGAGGCCGAAAGGCGUAGUCGAUGGGAAACAGGUUAAUAUUCCUGUACUUGGUGUUACUGCGAAGGGGGGACGGAGAAGGCUAUGUUGGCCGGGCGACGGUUGUCCCGGUUUAAGCGUGUAGGCUGGUUUUCCAGGCAAAUCCGGAAAAUCAAGGCUGAGGCGUGAUGACGAGGCACUACGGUGCUGAAGCAACAAAUGCCCUGCUUCCAGGAAAAGCCUCUAAGCAUCAGGUAACAUCAAAUCGUACCCCAAACCGACACAGGUGGUCAGGUAGAGAAUACCAAGGCGCUUGAGAGAACUCGGGUGAAGGAACUAGGCAAAAUGGUGCCGUAACUUCGGGAGAAGGCACGCUGAUAUGUAGGUGAAGCGACUUGCUCGUGGAGCUGAAAUCAGUCGAAGAUACCAGCUGGCUGCAACUGUUUAUUAAAAACACAGCACUGUGCAAACACGAAAGUGGACGUAUACGGUGUGACGCCUGCCCGGUGCCGGAAGGUUAAUUGAUGGGGUUAGCGGUAACGCGAAGCUCUUGAUCGAAGCCCCGGUAAACGGCGGCCGUAACUAUAACGGUCCUAAGGUAGCGAAAUUCCUUGUCGGGUAAGUUCCGACCUGCACGAAUGGCGUAAUGAUGGCCAGGCUGUCUCCACCCGAGACUCAGUGAAAUUGAACUCGCUGUGAAGAUGCAGUGUACCCGCGGCAAGACGGAAAGACCCCGUGAACCUUUACUAUAGCUUGACACUGAACAUUGAGCCUUGAUGUGUAGGAUAGGUGGGAGGCUUUGAAGUGUGGACGCCAGUCUGCAUGGAGCCGACCUUGAAAUACCACCCUUUAAUGUUUGAUGUUCUAACGUUGGCCCGUGAUCCGGGUUGCGGACAGUGUCUGGUGGGUAGUUUGACUGGGGCGGUCUCCUCCUAAAGAGUAACGGAGGAGCACGAAGGUUGGCUAAUCCUGGUCGGACAUCAGGAGGUUAGUGCAAUGGCAUAAGCCAGCUUGACUGCGAGCGUGACGGCGCGAGCAGGUGCGAAAGCAGGUCAUAGUGAUCCGGUGGUUCUGAAUGGAAGGGCCAUCGCUCAACGGAUAAAAGGUACUCCGGGGAUAACAGGCUGAUACCGCCCAAGAGUUCAUAUCGACGGCGGUGUUUGGCACCUCGAUGUCGGCUCAUCACAUCCUGGGGCUGAAGUAGGUCCCAAGGGUAUGGCUGUUCGCCAUUUAAAGUGGUACGCGAGCUGGGUUUAGAACGUCGUGAGACAGUUCGGUCCCUAUCUGCCGUGGGCGCUGGAGAACUGAGGGGGGCUGCUCCUAGUACGAGAGGACCGGAGUGGACGCAUCACUGGUGUUCGGGUUGUCAUGCCAAUGGCACUGCCCGGUAGCUAAAUGCGGAAGAGAUAAGUGCUGAAAGCAUCUAAGCACGAAACUUGCCCCGAGAUGAGUUCUCCCUGACUCCUUGAGAGUCCUGAAGGAACGUUGAAGACGACGACGUUGAUAGGCCGGGUGUGUAAGCGCAGCGAUGCGUUGAGCUAACCGGUACUAAUGAACCGUGAGGCUUAACCUU
This 2903-nucleotide ribosomal RNA is filed under the name Escherichia coli NCCP 15653. RNAcentral's name for it is "bacterial LSU rRNA". It matches the Rfam family "Bacterial large subunit ribosomal RNA". Lineage: Bacteria; Pseudomonadati; Pseudomonadota; Gammaproteobacteria; Enterobacterales; Enterobacteriaceae. The record is from RNAcentral.